This 335-nucleotide ribosomal RNA is filed under the name uncultured Fusibacter sp. RNAcentral describes it as "bacterial SSU rRNA". It matches the Rfam family "Bacterial small subunit ribosomal RNA", at positions 1049 to 1382 of the family's 1533-position model. Lineage: Bacteria; Bacillati; Bacillota; Clostridia; Eubacteriales; Fusibacteraceae. The record is from RNAcentral.
UUGUCGUCAGCUCGUGUCGUGAGAUGUUGGGUUAAGUCCCGCAACGAGCGCAACCCUUGUGUUUAGUUGCAAACAGGUCAAGCUGUGCACUCUAGACAGACUGCCGUGGACAACACGGAGGAAGGUGGGGGAUGACGUCAAAUCAUCAUGGCCCUUAUGUCCUGGGCUACACACGUGCUACAAUGGCCGGUACAGAGCGCAGCGAGGCCGCGAGGCGGAGCGAAUCGCUUAAAGCCGGUCCCAGUACGGAUUGGAGUCUGCAACCCGACUCCAUGAAGUUGGAAUCGCUAGUAAUCGCGCAUCAGCAUGGCGCGGUGAAUACGUUCCCGGGCCUU